This 557-nucleotide ribosomal RNA is filed under the name Vibrio sp. RNAcentral's name for it is "bacterial SSU rRNA". It matches the Rfam family "Bacterial small subunit ribosomal RNA", at positions 82 to 635 of the family's 1533-position model. The record is from RNAcentral. Lineage: Bacteria; Pseudomonadati; Pseudomonadota; Gammaproteobacteria; Vibrionales; Vibrionaceae.
GUUAAGGGCGUGAGCGUGGCACGGAAGAGUAAUGCCUAGGAAGUUGCCCAGUAGAGGGGGAUAACCAUUGCAAACGAUGGCUAAUACCGCAUAACCUCUUCCGAGCAAAGCAGGGGACCUUCGGGCCUUGCGCUAUUGGAUACGCCUAGGUGGGAUUAGCUAGUUGGCGAGGUAAGGGCUCACCAAUGCGACGAUCCCUAGCUGGUCUGAGAGGAUGAUCAGCCACACUGGAACUGACACACGGACCAAACUCCUACGGAAGGCAGCAGAGGGGAAUAUUGCACAAUGGGCCAAAGCCUGAUGCAGCCAUGCCGCGUGUGUGAAGAAGGCCUUCUGGUUGUAAAGCACUUUCUGCAGGGAGGAAGGCGGGAAGAUUAAUACUCUGAACACUUGACGUUAGCUGCAAAAGAAGCACCGGCUAACUCCGUGCCCGCAGCCGCGGAAAUACGGAGGGUGCGAGCGUUAAUCGGAAUUACUGGGCGGAAAGCGCAUGCAGGUGGUGAGUUAAGUCAGAUGUGAAAGCCCGGUGCUCAACCUCGUAAUUGCAUUUGAAACUG